This 5279-nucleotide long non-coding RNA is filed under the name Brassica napus (rape). Its description in RNAcentral is "long non-coding RNA (BNAP_LNC025109)". Lineage: Eukaryota; Viridiplantae; Streptophyta; Magnoliopsida; Brassicales; Brassicaceae. The record is from RNAcentral.
AAAUAAUUUUCUUAAAAACUGCUAUUUUUGGAAAGUUUUCAUUUUUUUAGAGAAAUAUUGUAGAUUUGAAUUUGUGGUGUAAAAAUUAAGAUAACAAGAAUAUUUGUGGAUCAUUGAGUAUUCUUUUAGAAAUUUUCAUCAACAAGUUGUAUUUGAAAUAAUUAUCUUAAAAACUUCUAUUUUUGGAAAGUUUUCAUUUUGUAGAGAAAUAUUGUAGAUUUGGGUUUGUGAUUUAAAAUUUAGGAUAAAAAGAAUAUUGUGGAUAAAUGAGUAUAAUUUAAGAAUUUUUCAUCAAUGUGUUGUAUUUUUACAUAAUUUUCUUAAAAACUGCUAUUUUUGGAAAGUUUUAAUUUUAUAGAUAAAUAUUGUAGAUUUAGGUUUGUGAUUUAAAAAUCAGGAUAACAAGACUAUUUGUGGACAGAUGAAUACUCUUUAAGAAAUUUUCAUCAAUAUGUUAUAUUUUUAAAUAAAUUUCUUAAAAAUUUUAUUUUUGGAAAGUUUUCGUUUGUAGAGAAAUAUUGUAGAUUUGGGUUUGUGAUUUAGAAAUUAGGAUAACAAGAAUAUUUGUGGAUAGAUGAAUAUAAUUUAAGAAAUUUUCAAUAAUGUAUUGUAUUUUUAAAUUAUUUUCUUAAAAACAGUUUUCUUUGGAAAGUUUUCAUUUUAUAGAUAAAUUUUGUAGAUUUGGGUUUGUGAUUUAAAAAUUAGGAUAACUACACUAUUUGUGGACAGAUAAAUACUCUUUAAGAAUUUUUCAUCAAUAUGUUAUAUUUUUAAAUAAUUUUCUUUAAACUGCUAUUUUUGGAAAGUUUUCAUUUUUUUAAAGAAAUAUUAUAGAUUUGGAUUUGUGAAUUAGAAAUUAGGAUAACAAGAACAUUUGUGGAUAGAUGAGUAUUCUUUCGGAGUAUUCAUCAGUAGGUUAUAUUUUUAAAUAAUUUUCUUAAAAACUGCUAUUUUUGAAAAGUUUUCAUUUUUUUAGAGAAAUAUUGUAGAUUUGAAUUUGUGGUGUAAAAAUUAAGAUAACAAGAAUAUUUGUGGAUAAUUGAGUAUUCUUUUAGAAAUUUUAAUCAACAAGUUGCAUUUGAAAUAAUUUUCUUAAAAACUUCUAUUUUUGGAAAUUUUUUAUUUUUUAAAGAAAUAUUGUAGAUUUGGCUUUGUGAUUUUAAAAUUAGGACAACAACUAUAUUUGUGGAUAGAUGAAUAUAAUUUAAGAAUUUUUUAUCCAUGUGCUGUAUUUUUAAAUAAUUUUCUUAAAAACUGCUAUUUUUUUAAAGUUUUCAUUUUUUAGAGAAAUAUUGUAAAUUUGGGUUUGUGAUUUAGAAUUAGGACAACUAGACUAUUUGUGGACAGAUGAAUACUCUCUAAGAAUUUUUCAUCAAUAUAUUGUAUUUUUAAAUAAUUUUCUUAAAAACUUCUAUUUUUGGAAAGUUUUAUUUUUUUUAGAGUAAUAUUGUAGAUUUGAGUUUGUGAUUUAAAAAUUAGGACAACAAAUAUAUUUGUGGAUAAUUGAGUAUUCUUUUAGAAAUUUUCAUCAAAAAGUUGUAUUUUAAAUAAUUUUCUUAAAAACUUCUAUUUUUGGAAAGUUUUAUUUUUUUUAGAGUAAUAUUGUAGAUUUGAGUUUGUGAUUUAAAAAUUAGGACAACAAAUAUAUUUGUGGAUAAUUGAGUAUUCUUUUAGAAAUUUUCAUCAAAAAGUUGUAUUUUAAAUAAUUUUCUUAAAAACUUCUAUUUUUGGAAAGUUUUAUUUUUUUUAGAGUAAUAUUGUAGAUUUGAGUUUGUGAUUUAAAAAUUAGGACAACAAAUAUAUUUGUGGAUAAUUGAGUAUUCUUUUAGAAAUUUUCAUCAAAAAGUUGUAUUUUAAAUAAUUUUCUUAAAAACUGCUAUUUUUGGAAAGUUUUCAUUUUAUUGAUAAAUAUUGUAGACUAGGGUUUGUGAUUUAAAAAUUAGGAUAACUAGACAAUUUGUGGAAAGAUGAAUACUCUUUAAGAAAUUUUCAUCCAUAUGUUGUAUUUUAAAAUAUUUUUCUUAAAAACUGCUAUUUUUGGAAAGUUUUCAUUUUAUUGAUAAAUAUUGUAGACUAGGGUUUGUGAUUUAAAAAUUAGGAUAACUAGACAAUUUGUGGAAAGAUGAAUACUCUUUAAGAAAUUUUCAUCCAUAUGUUGUAUUUUAAAAUAUUUUUCUUAAAAACUGCUAUUUUUGGAAAGUUUUCAUUUUAUUGAUAAAUAUUGUAGACUAGGGUUUGUGAUUUAAAAAUUAGGAUAACUAGACAAUUUGUGGAAAGAUGAAUACUCUUUAAGAAAUUUUCAUCCAUAUGUUGUAUUUUAAAAUAUUUUUCUUAAAAACUGCUAUUUUUGGAAAGUUUUCAUUUUUUAGAGAAAUAUUAUAGAUUUGGGUUUGUGAUUUAGAAAUUAGGACAACAAGAAUAUUUGUGGAUAGAUGAGUAUCCUUUCGGAGUUUUUUAUCAACAGUUUGUAAUUUUAAAUAAUUUUCUUAAAAACUGUUAGUUUUGGAAAAUUUUCAUUUUUAGAGAAAUAUUAUAGAUUUAGGUUUGUGAUUUAGAAAUAAGGACAACAAGAAUAUUUGUGAAUAGAUGAGUAUUACUUCGGAGUUUUUCAUCAAUAUGUUGUAUUUUUAAAUAAUUUUCUUAAAAUCUGCUAUUUUUGAAAAGUUUUCAUUUUUAGAGAAAUAUUAUAGAGUUGGGUUUUUGAUUUAGAAAUUAGGACAACCAGAAUAUUUUUAGAUAGAUGAUUUUUUCGGAUUUUUUCAUCAAUAAAUUGUAUUUUUAAAUAAUUUUCUUAAAAACUUCUAUUUUUGGAAAGUUUUAAUUUUAUAGAUAAAUAUUGUAGAUUAGGGUUUUGUGAUUUAAAAAUUAGGAUAACUAGACUAUUUGUGGAAAGAUGAAUACUCUUUAAGAAAUUUUCAUCAAUAUGUUGUAUUUUUAAAUUAUUUUAUUAAAAACUGCUAUUUUGGAAAGUUUUCAUUUUUAGAGAAAUAUUAUAGAUUUGGGUUUGUGAUUUAGAAAUUAGGACAACAAGAAUAUUUGUGGAUAGAUGAUUCUUUCGAUUUUUUUCAUCAAUAGAUUGUAUUUUAAAAUAAUUAUCUUAAAAACUGCUAUUUUUAUAAAAUUUUCAUUUUUUAGAGAAAUAUUGUAGAUUUGAGUUUUUGGUUUAAAAAUUAUGAUAACAAGAAUAUUUGUGGAUAAUUGAGUAUUCUUUAAGAAAUUUUCAUCAACAAGUUGUAUUUGAAAUAAUUUUCUUAAGAACUUAUAUUUUUGGAAUUUUUUUAUUAUUAGAGAAAUAUAAUAGAUUUUGGUUUGUGAUUUAAAAAUUAGGAGAACAAGAAUAUUUGUGGAUAGAAGAGUAUAAUUUAAGAAGUUUUCAUCCAUGUGUUGUAUUUUUAAAUAAUUUUCUUAAAAACGGCUAUUUUUGGAAAGUUUUUCAUUUUUUAGAAAAAUAUUAUAGAUUUAGGUUUGUGAUUUAAAAAUUAGGAUAAAAAUAAUAUUUGUGGAUAGAUGAAUAUAAUUUAAUAAUUUUUCAUCAAUGUGUUGUAUUUUUAAAUAAUUUUCUUAAAAACUGCUAUUUUUUUUAAAGUUUUCAUUUUUUAGAGAAAUAUUGUAUAAUUGGGUUUGUGAUUUAAAAAUUAGGACAACUAGACUAUUUGUGGACAGAUGAAUACUCUCUAAGAAUUUUUCAUCAAUAUAUUGUAUUUUAAAAUAAUUUUCUUGAAAGUUGCUAUUUUUAUAAGUUUUCAUUUUUUAGAGAAAUAUUAUAGAUUUGGGUUUGUGAUUUAGAAAUUAGGACAACAAGAAUAUUUGUGGGUAGAUGAGUAUUCUUUCGGAAUUUUUCAUCAAUAGGUUGUAUUUUUAAAUAAUUUUCUUAAAAACUUCUAUUUUUGAAAAGUUUUCAUUUUUUAGAGAAAUAUUGUUGAUUAGGGUUUGUGAUUUGAAAAUUAGGAUAACUAGAGUAUUUGUGGAAAGAUGAAUACUCUUUAAGAAAUUUUCAUCAAUAUGUUGUAUUUUGAAAUAAUUUUCUUAAAAACUGCUACUUUUGAAAAGUUUUUUUUUAGAGAAAUAUUGUAGAUUAGGGUUUGUGAUUUAAUAAUUAGGAUAACUAGACUAUUUGUGGAAUGACGAAUACUCUUUAAGAAAUUUUCAUCAAUAUGUUUUAUUUUUAAAUAAUUUUCUUAAAAGCUGCUAUUUUUAGAAAGUUUUAAUUUUUUAGAGAAAUAUUGUAGAUUAGGGUUUGUGAUUUAAUAAUUAGGAUAACUAGACUAUUUGUGGACAGAUGAAUAAUCUUUAAGAAUUUUUCAUCAAUAUGUUUUAUUUUUAAAUAAUUUUCUUAAAAGCUGCUAUUUUUAGAAAGUUUUAAUUUUUUAGAGAAAUAUUAUAGAUUUGGGUUUGUGAUUUAGAAAUUAGGACAACAGGAAUAUUUGUGGAUAGAUGAGUAUUCUUUCGGAGUUUUUCAUCAGUAGGUUAUAUUUUUAAAUAAUUUUCUUAAAAACUACUAUUUUUGGAAUUUCUUCAUUUUUGGAGAAAUAUUGUAGAUUUGGGUUUGUGAUUUAAAAAUUAGGACAACUAGACUAUUUGUGGACAGAUGAAUAAUCUUUAAGAAUUUUUCAUCAAUGUUUUUUAUUUUUAAAUAAUUUUCUUAAAAACUGCAAUUUUUAGAAAGUUUUUAUUUUUUAGAGAAAUAUUAUAGGUUUGAGUUUUUGAUUUUGAAAUUAGGACAACAAGAAUAUUUGUGGAUAGAUGAGUAUUCUUUCGGAGUUUUUCAUCAACAGUUUGUAAUUUUAAAUAAUUUCUUAAAAACUGUUAUUUUUGGAAAAUUUUCAUUUUUAGAGAAAUAUUAUAGAUUUGGGUUGUGAUUUAGAAAUUAGGACAACAAGAAUAUUUGUGGAUAGAUGAGUAUUAUUUCAGAGUUUUUCAUCAAUAAGUUGUAUUUUUAAAUAAUUUUCUUAAAAACAGCUAUUUUUUGAAAGUUUUCAUUUUUUGAGAGAAAUAUUGUAGAUUUCAGUUUGUGGUUUAAAAAUUAAGAUAACAAUAAUGUUUGUGGAUAGAAGAGUAUAAUUUAAGAAAUUUUCAUCAACACGUUGUAUUUUAAAUAAUUUUCUUAAGAACUUUUAUUUUGAAAAGUUUUCAUUUUUAUGAGAAAUAUUGAAAAUUUGGGUUUGUGAUUUUAAAAUUAAGAUAACAAGACUAUUUGUGGAUAGAUGAGUAUUCUUUCGGAGUUUUUCAUCAGGAGGUUAUAUUUUUAAAUAAUUUUCUUGAAAACUGCUAUUUUAGGA